UGACAGCCAUUUCCAUGCCUG
This 21-nucleotide unclassified non-coding RNA is filed under the name Mus musculus (house mouse). RNAcentral's name for it is "oocyte_clustered_small_RNA2286". The record is from RNAcentral. Lineage: Eukaryota; Metazoa; Chordata; Mammalia; Rodentia; Muridae.